CCUACGUGAGGCUGCAGUAGGGAAUAUUGCUCAAUGGGGGAAACCCUGAAGCAGCAACGCCGCGUGGAGGAUGAAGGUUUUCGGAUUGUAAACUCCUUUUGUUAGAGAAGAUAAUGACGGUAUCUAACGAAUAAGCACCGGCUAACUCCGUGCCAGCAGCCGCGGUAAUACGGAGGGUGCAAGCGUUACUCGGAAUCACUGGGCGUAAAGAGCGCGUAGGCGGGAUAGCAAGUCAGAUGUGAAAUCCUAUGGCUUAACCAUAGAACUGCAUUUGAAACUGUUAUUCUAGAGUAGUGGAGAGGUAGGUGGAAUUCGUGGUGUAGGGGUAAAAUCCGUAGAGAUCGAGAGGAAUACUCAUUGCGAAGGCGACCUGCUAGAACAUAACUGACGCUGAUGCGCGAAAGCGUGGGGACCAAACAGGAUUAGAUACCCGUGUAGUC
RNAcentral lists this ribosomal RNA (440 nucleotides) under uncultured bacterium. RNAcentral describes it as "partial 16S ribosomal RNA". It matches the Rfam family "Bacterial small subunit ribosomal RNA", at positions 338 to 795 of the family's 1533-position model. The record is from RNAcentral.